Struthio camelus australis is the source of this 912-nucleotide non-coding RNA. Lineage: Eukaryota; Metazoa; Chordata; Aves; Struthioniformes; Struthionidae. The record is from RefSeq and is a predicted model, not a curated record.
CUGGGGAGCCCAGAAUUGGACACAGUACUCCAGGAUUGGCCUCGCCAGGGCUGAGUAGAGGGGCAGGAUCACCAGUAUUUUCAUGGAGGCUCAGGUACUUUUAAUCCCUGAUAUUUCCUCAAAUACAAUCCUCACAGAGGAAUAGCAGCAGUGUUAAAAUGCCUGUAGAACAAACACCAGCACAAGCUCCUCUUGGCACUAGCAUGAGGACUGCUUUUAUGGGCUCAUUCUGCUUUCACAGCAGCAUGAGGCAGUGAUAUGUUAUAGUUUCAAAUAGUUGUUGAUGCAUUUACUUUUAGCAAUAGAGAAGGCUGGGAGAAAGCCAGCUCCAUCUUCUUUUGCUUGAUAGUAGCAGUGCAGGAACAUAACACCUUUUCAGCUUGGAGGCUGUUCUCUAGUGUGGACGCAUUGACCAUUCUGGAAGAUCAGUUACAGUAGUGUCUAAAGAGCUUGCCAGGGCAAGAUGGUUUUGGGUGGCAGGAGAAGGGAGCUGUAGCUCCCUAAGAAGGGAGGAAAGCCUCUCUGCACAACUCCCAAAGGAGACUGAGGAUGCUUCCUAUGCUUUUCCCAAGCUUCUCUUGGGACAGCCUGUGCAGAACAAAUGGGGUGGGGUGUGGGAUUCAAGAGCAGUGCCCAGUCUGCUGAAGAGUUUGAAGAAAUCUGUGCAUCAGCACACAACCCUGCAGUAAAACAGCCUAUGGAAAAGGGACUGAGCUGGAAUACAAAAUGGCUGUGCAUUUUAAAGCUGUAUGCAUGACUCCUCCAGCUGUCUAAGGUCCUGGAAGACGGUCAGAUUGUGAAGUCAGGUACAACUGGUGUAUGAAGGCCUUCCAAGUCCCUAAUGUGAAGAUGUUGAUUUGAAGACUGCCAAGUGAAUCCCAGAAUGGCUGAGGUUGGAGGGGACCUCUGGAG